CUUAAAUAGCUUAAAUUAUUAAAGCUUAAUAUUGAAGAUAUUAAAAUAGGUGAAUACCUUUUAAGUAAA
Molecule: transfer RNA, 69 nt
Filed under: Ausejanus albisignatus
Lineage: Eukaryota; Metazoa; Arthropoda; Insecta; Hemiptera; Miridae
Description: tRNA-Phe
Source: RNAcentral